GCAUAUCAAUAAGCGGAGGAAAAGAAACCAACAGGGAUUGCCCUAGUAACGGCGAGUGAAGCGGCAACAGCUCAAAUUUGAAAUCUGGCUCUUUUAGAGUCCGAGUUGUAAUUUGCAGAGGGCGCUUUGGCUUUGGCAGCGGUCCAAGUUCCUUGGAACAGGACGUCACAGAGGGUGAGAAUCCCGUACGUGGUCGCUGGCUAUUGCCGUGUAAAGCCCCUUCGACGAGUCGAGUUGUUUGGGAAUGCAGCUCUAAAUGGGAGGUACAUUUCUUCUAAAGCUAAAUAUUGGCCAGAGACCGAUAGCGCACAAGUAGAGUGAUCGAAAGAUGAAAAGCACUUUGGAAAGAGAGUCAAACAGCACGUGAAAUUGUUGAAAGGGAAGCGCUUGCAGCCAGACUUGCUUACAGUUGCUCAUCCGGGCUUUUGCCCGGUGCACUCUUCUGUAGGCAGGCCAGCAUCAGUUUGGGCGGUAGGAUAAAGGUCUCUGUCACGUACCUCUCUUCGGGGAGGCCUUAUAGGGGAGACGACAUACUACCAGCCUGGACUGAGGUCCGCGCAUCUGCUAGGAUGCUGGCGUAAUGGCUGUAAGCGGCCCGUCUUGAAACACGGACCAAGGAGUCUAACAUCUAUGCGAGUGUUUGGGUGUCAAGCCCGAGCGCGUAAUGAAAGUGAACGGAGGUAGGAACCCGCAAGGGUGCACUAUCGACCGAUCCUGAUGUCUUCGGAAGGAUUUGAGUAAGAGCAUGGCUGUUGGGACCCGAAAGAUGGUGAACUAUGCUUGAAUAGGGUGAAGCCAGAGGAAACUCUGGUGGAGGCUCGCAGCGGUUCUGACGUGCAAAUCGAUCGUCAAAUUUGGGCAUAGGGGCGAAAGACUAAUCGAACUAUCUAGUAGCUGGUUCCUGC
This 905-nucleotide ribosomal RNA is filed under the name Alternaria chlamydosporigena. RNAcentral's name for it is "LSU rRNA". It matches the Rfam family "Eukaryotic large subunit ribosomal RNA", at positions 38 to 961 of the family's 3401-position model. Lineage: Eukaryota; Fungi; Ascomycota; Dothideomycetes; Pleosporales; Pleosporaceae. The record is from RNAcentral.